GUAUAAAUAGAAUACAGUGAAACUGCGAAUGGCUCAUUAAAACAGUUAUAGUUUAUUUGAUAAUUGAAGUCUACAUGGAUAACCGUGGUAAUUCUAGAGCUAAUACAUGCAUUAAGACCCGACGCAAGAAGGGUUGUAUUUAUUAGAUAUUAAGCCAAUAUUCCGCAAGGUCUAUUGUGGUGAAUCAUAGUAACUGAUCGGAUCCCGAAUUCGGGAUAAAUCAUUCAAGUUUCUGCCCUAUCAGCUUUCGAUGGUAGUGUAUUGGACUACCAUGGCAGUAACGGGUAACGGAGAAUUAGGGUUCGGUUCCGGAGAGGGAGCCUGAGAAACGGCUACCACAUCUAAGGAAGGCAGCAGGCGCGUAAAUUACCCAAUGCAGACUCUGCGAGGUAGUGACAAUACAUAACAACCUGGGGUCUCACGACUUACGGGAUUGCAAUGAGAACAAUUUAAAAACCUUAACGAGGAACAAGUGGAGGGCAAGUCUGGUGCCAGCAGCCGCGGUAAUUCCAGCUCCACUAGCGUAUAUUAAAGUUGUUGCAGUUAAAAAGCUCGUAGUUGAACUUCUGAUUGUUGCUUGAGUCGGUAUUUAUAUCGCUCUAGCGGCAGUCAUCCGUCUGCAAACUUUUACAUCCUUAACUGGUUUGUCUAAGGGAGCAGGCAUUUUACUUUGAAAAAAUUAGAGUGUUUAAGGCAGGCGCAAGCCUGAAUACAUUAGCAUGGAAUAAUGGAAUAGGACGCCUGUCCAUUUGAUUGGUUAUUGGACUCGCGUAAUGAUUAAUAGGGACAGUUGGGGGCAUUAGUAUUUAAUUGUCAGAGGUGAAAUUCUUGGAUUUAUUAAAGACUAACUUAUGCGAAAGCAUUUGCCAAGGAUGUUUUCAUUAAUCAAGAACGAAAGUUAGGGGAUCAAAGACGAUAAGAUACCGUCCUAGUCUUAACUAUAAACUAUACCGACUCGGUUUUGGUAGG
Molecule: ribosomal RNA, 969 nt
Filed under: Cyclidium glaucoma
Lineage: Eukaryota; Ciliophora; Oligohymenophorea; Pleuronematida; Cyclidiidae
Description: SSU rRNA
Rfam family: Eukaryotic small subunit ribosomal RNA
Source: RNAcentral